This 136-nucleotide ribosomal RNA is filed under the name uncultured bacterium. Its description in RNAcentral is "partial 16S rRNA". It matches the Rfam family "Bacterial small subunit ribosomal RNA", at positions 355 to 507 of the family's 1533-position model. The record is from RNAcentral.
UGGGGAAUAUUGCGCAAUGGGGGAAACCCUGACGCAGCGACGCCGCGUGAAGGAAGAAGGCCUUCGGGUUGUAAACUUCUUUGGCAGGGGACGAAGAAAGACGGUACCCUGAGAACAAGCCACGGCUAACUACGUG